Molecule: unclassified non-coding RNA, 509 nt
Filed under: Hevea brasiliensis (rubber tree)
Lineage: Eukaryota; Viridiplantae; Streptophyta; Magnoliopsida; Malpighiales; Euphorbiaceae
Source: RNAcentral
GCUGGGCUAGUGAUAAUCUCUUCUGUAUUCUAUCUAUGGUGGAAAAGGGAUUCACCCAAACACAUCAAAAUUCAAAGAGGACCACCUGGGAAAUGAUGAUACCAGAAGCAAGAUACACCCAAUGAGUAGCCAAUGAACUGUCAUCAGAUUGUAAUAUAUAUUAUUGUGGGUUUUGGCUUUCAAGAUUCAUUUUUCACUCUCAAUUAUGGUUUGUUUGCUGUGGGAAUCUAAUGUAUCCUAGCAUAAUGUGAAGGUUGGGAUCAUUGGUAUUGUGUCAAGUAUAAAGAAGACAUGCUAGAUUUGUAUAGACAAAUAAAAGUGGGUGUCAUAGUGGCCCUUUGCUUGAUUGUUUUAAUUGCUUGUUGGGUAAAAUUUUGUCACUAGUGAUAAGAAAAGCAUGGCAUGGAUGGGUGAUAGGCCUUGAAGGGAAACUUGAUUUGAAGAUUGAAUGCAGCUUCUUUAUCAUAGUUCACUGAUAAGAUAUGAUUUUUCUUCCUGGCCAAUGAAAA